UUUUUAAGUCUUUAUUAUUUUUAGGUUCAUUUUAAGAUGAGAUGAAGGAUGUACAAUGAUAUAGCAUAAAGCGAAGUAAAGUAAAUACACAAAAAUAAAUAAAUAUUAGAAGCGGGAUUUAAAAGAGUUAGAUGUUAAUUGCGGAAAUUAAAAAAUUAGAGUUAAUCGUUAAAUGUUAGGUGUUAGUUGAAAUCAACAUGAAAUAACAAGAGAAUUGUAAUAAAAUGUUAAAUCUAAAACAAA
Molecule: long non-coding RNA, 243 nt
Filed under: Lathyrus oleraceus (garden pea)
Lineage: Eukaryota; Viridiplantae; Streptophyta; Magnoliopsida; Fabales; Fabaceae
Description: Pisum sativum (pea) long non-coding RNA (PSAT_LNC000043)
Source: RNAcentral